AGAGUUUGAUCCUGACUCAGGAUGAACGCUAGCUACAGGCUUAACACAUGCAAGUCGAGGGGCAGCAUGGUCUUAGCUUGCUAAGGCCGAUGGCGACCGGCGCACGGGUGAGUAACACGUAUCCAACCUGCCGUCUACUCUUGGACAGCCUUCUGAAAGGAAGAUUAAUACAAGAUGGCAUCAUGAGUCCGCAUGUUCACAUGAUUAAAGGUAUUCCGGUAGACGAUGGGGAUGCGUUCCAUUAGAUAGUAGGCGGGGUAACGGCCCACCUAGUCUUCGAUGGAUAGGGGUUCUGAGAGGAAGGUCCCCCACAUUGGAACUGAGACACGGUCCAAACUCCUACGGGAGGCAGCAGUGAGGAAUAUUGGUCAAUGGGCGAGAGCCUGAACCAGCCAAGUAGCGUGAAGGAUGACUGCCCUAUGGGUUGUAAACUUCUUUUAUAAAGGAAUAAAGUCGGGUAUGCAUACCCGUUUGCAUGUACUUUAUGAAUAAGGAUCGGCUAACUCCGUGCCAGCAGCCGCGGUAAUACGGAGGAUCCGAGCGUUAUCCGGAUUUAUUGGGUUUAAAGGGAGCGUAGAUGGGUUGUUAAGUCAGUUGUGAAAGUUUGCGGCUCAACCGUAAAAUUGCAAUUGAUACUGGCAGUCUUGAGUACAGUUGAGGUAGGCGGAAUUCGUGGUGUAGCGGUGAAAUGCUUAGAUAUCACGAAGAACUCCGAUUGCGAAGGCAGCUUACUAACCUGUAACUGACAUUGAUGCUCGAAAGUGUGGGUAUCAAACAGGAUUAGAUACCCUGGUAGUCCACACGGUAAACGAUGAAUACUCGCUGUAGGCGAUAUACAGUCUGCGGCCAAGCGAAAGCAUUAAGUAUUCCACCUGGGGAGUACGCCGGCAACGGUGAAACUCAAAGGAAUUGACGGGGGCCCGCACAAGCGGAGGAACAUGUGGUUUAAUUCGAUGAUACGCGAGGAACCUUACCCGGGCUUAAAUUGCAACCGAAUAUGGCGGAAACGCUAUAGCUAGCAAUAGCGGUUGUGAAGGUGCUGCAUGGUUGUCGUCAGCUCGUGCCGUGAGGUGUCGGCUUAAGUGCCAUAACGAGCGCAACCCUUGCCGAUAGUUACUAACAGGUUAUGCUGAGGACUCUGUCGGGACUGCCAUCGUAAGAUGUGAGGAAGGUGGGGAUGACGUCAAAUCAGCACGGCCCUUACGUCCGGGGCUACACACGUGUUACAAUGGGGGGUACAGAGGGCUGCUACCACGCAAGUGGAUGCCAAUCCUAAAAACCUCUCUCAGUUCGGAUUGAAGUCUGCAACCCGACUUCAUGAAGCUGGAUUCGCUAGUAAUCGCGCAUCAGCCACGGCGCGGUGAAUACGUUCCCGGGCCUUGCACUCACCGCCCGUCA
Molecule: ribosomal RNA, 1398 nt
Filed under: uncultured bacterium
Lineage: Bacteria
Description: 16S ribosomal RNA
Rfam family: Bacterial small subunit ribosomal RNA
Source: RNAcentral